This is a long non-coding RNA of Sorghum bicolor (sorghum), 1712 nucleotides long. RefSeq lists it as uncharacterized. The record is from RefSeq and is a predicted model, not a curated record. The transcript has 2 exons. Lineage: Eukaryota; Viridiplantae; Streptophyta; Magnoliopsida; Poales; Poaceae.
UCUCACUAGGAUUAGCAAUCAAGCAAGGAGAUGAGUGGAGGGAGUGUUCUCUAGCUCAAAUUAUGCCUCAAGUAUUGAAAAGUGCAAAGGUUAACCCCCCAAGGCCGGCCAGCCACUACUUAUAAACCCCUCAAAAAAAUAGAGCCAUUGACUCUUUUACUAGACAGAACUCGAGUGCCCCACACGCGCAGCAGGUGAGCCACCGGACGCUCGAACCCUGCAUCCGGUGCUUAGAUGACAGCCACGUGUCCACUGAUUGAAUCUUAUGUGUCAAUCGUGAGUGGGCAACAGGCACCAAAGGAAAAAAUAGCCAGAAACACAAAAAAAUUCAGCAAAAAAUAGGCACGGAAGCAUGAGAGAAAAAAUAGCCAGAAACACACACAAAAGCAGCCAGAAAUAGGCACAUUGCUUCUUGCGGCUGAGCGCAUAUGGUCUACAAGCCUAAUUUUUGAAAAUUUAGCCCUUUUUUUUAAGAAAGUUCAUAUUUAGACUCCUGCUCGACAAAAUUCUAUCUUUGGACCCAAGGAGUUGACGUCGUAAAACACGGCGUCGAGGUUAUACGUCUCGACGCCGUGAUCCACAGCGUCGAGCUCCGUGGCCGAACCCAGCGUGUCGAUUGUGUGGCUGCUCACCACGGAUUACAACGUCGAGCUCGACGCCGCAGAUCACGGUGUCGAGGUAAGAAAACAAAAUCCUUUCCCCCGCGGCCCUGUUCAGUGACAGCGCCGCCUCUUUCCUUCACUGCUCCUCCCCAUGGCCGCCGUAACCGCCGCCUGAGCCACCGCCGGAGCCCACCGGAGCCCGCUAGAGCUGCGCAGGAGCCCGCCAUAGCCACCUCCCUCGCCAUCCUCAACACCACCCGUGCCGCGCUGUGGUCAUUGGCGCCACCAUCCGCGCCGGCCGCGCCCUGCUCACCCGCGCCUCCGUCUGGUAGGCCGCUGGUCCCCGCUCGUGGACUAGCGGCUCCCCGUUCCCUACACAAGCCGACAAUGGUGGACUAGGUGGCGCCUCCGUAGUUGUGUGCCCUUGGCCAACAGUAACUGCACAGAUGGACAACGUAGUAACUCUAUAUCAUGGAGGAAGUGUGGAGGAAGAUCAGUUUGGCAAUGUUUGUUUUGUUGGAAUGCAAAGGGUGUCUUUGAUGUUUGAUGAGCGGCCAUUGUUUUCUGAAUUGAUGGGUAGUGCUCGUGAUGAGCUUAAAUGUAAUUCAAAUGAAGAUGAAAUAUUAGUUGAGAGGGUACUUCACCAUGGCCAGUCAGGGACAAUUUUUAGACGGUUGGUACCAAUUGUAUCAGAGGUUCAAUGGGAAAAAUAUGUUAAAACUGUCAUGAAGAAUGAGUUUUAAUGUUUGGAUUUGGUUGUGCGCAAGUUGUCCAAGGAGCCAGCCCCUCUAGUGUAUUCUCCUCCUAAUUGCCAACCACCCGGACAGUCCGGCACCCUCUGCUCCCCCGUUACCCAGUCACGAGGUGGGUGUGGAAGAUGUGGUUGUCGUUCCUAAUGCUCAGUCCGACCCCAAUGAGGUUGGGAUAUGUGUCAGUGGUGUUGGUGCUGGCAGCCUAGAGACUCCUAUGACCCAGAAAAUUCCAUGUAAGUGGUGUAGUUACACUUUUCAUUUCGUUAUCAUUCCUUCGUUCGAUUCCGUUGUCUCAAUUGUAUCCAUAUAUAUAGUUUUGUUAUAGGUGACCAUCCAAGUAAUAAUGGUUGUCCUCCUA